Molecule: ribosomal RNA, 301 nt
Filed under: uncultured bacterium
Lineage: Bacteria
Description: partial 16S ribosomal RNA
Rfam family: Bacterial small subunit ribosomal RNA
Source: RNAcentral
CAGUCGCCGCGGUAAUACGUAGGGUGCGAGCGUUAAUCGGAAUUACUGGGCGUAAAGCGUGCGCAGGCGGUGAUGUAAGACAGAUGUGAAAUCCCCGGGCUCAACCUGGGAACUGCAUUAGUGACUGCAUCGCUGGAGUGCGGCAGAGGGGGAUGGAAUUCCGCGUGUAGCAGUGAAAUGCGUAGAUAUGCGGAGGAACACCGAUGGCGAAGGCAAUCCCCUGGGCCUGCACCGACGCUCAUGCACGAAAGCGUGGGGAGCAAACAGGAUUAGAUACCCCUGUAGUCCCUGUCUCUUAUAC